ACGGGAGGCAGCAGUAAGGAAUAUUGGUCAAUGGACGCAAGUCUGAACCAGCCAUGCCGCGUGGAGGAUGAAGGUCCUCUGGAUUGUAAACUUCUUUUAUUUGGGAAGAAAUCCACUUUUUCUAAGGUGGUUGACGGUACCAGAUGAAUAAGCACCGGCUAACUCCGUGCCAGCAGCCGCGGUAAUACGGAGGGUGCAAGCGUUAUCCGGAUUCACUGGGUUUAAAGGGUGCGUAGGUGGGUAAGUAAGUCAGUGGUGAAAUCUCCGGGCUUAACCCGGAAACUGCCAUUGAUACUAUUUGUCUUGAAUACUGUGGAGGUCAGCGGAAUAUGUCAUGUAGCGGUGAAAUGCUUAGAUAUGACAUAGAACACCAAUUGCGAAGGCAGCUGGCUACACAAAUAUUGACACUGAGGCACGAAAGCGUGGGGAUCAAACAGGAUUAGAUACCCUGGUA
This 454-nucleotide ribosomal RNA is filed under the name uncultured Saprospirales bacterium. RNAcentral describes it as "bacterial SSU rRNA". It matches the Rfam family "Bacterial small subunit ribosomal RNA", at positions 341 to 792 of the family's 1533-position model. The record is from RNAcentral. Lineage: Bacteria; Pseudomonadati; Bacteroidota; Saprospiria; Saprospirales.